GUAAAGCCUACAAUUUUGCUUAGCAUUCCCAAUUUUAUUUUAUUAUUAUUAUUAUUUUUUUUUUUUUUUUUUUAAUGGUUCUGUCUUAUAUGACAUAUUGAAAGGGAAAGGAAGUUAAUGAGCUAUCUUGAUCUAUGCCUCUUUGGCAAGAUUUCUUAGAGACAAGAUUACAAGUCAAUUCAGGAACAUAUAGGCAGAGUUCAAGAAAAUAGUCAAUCAAAGAAUCAUUAUUUACCAACAACACAGCCAUUGCCAUCUGUUUCGGUAACCUUUUUAUUUCAAGCACAAGGUCUAUAUCUUGAGAAGAAAUUGGAAGAUCUAGACCAUAUGGUUAGAAGCGCCUGGAUCAAUGGUUCAACUAGAAAUAUCAUAUGACUGAACGUAGGACCAAGUGGCAAUAGGGUUUUCUAGUUGAUUGAACAAAGCCUUCAACAGAAACCCAACAUAGCAGUGUUGAAGGUCUAUGAAGAUUGAAAAUAAUGGCAAUGAAGACCUAAAUCGUUAAACAACUAUCACACUUAGAAAAUCCUAAACAACUCUUAUACCAUGUGAUGAAAUCUAAUUUCGUUGGUACUAUCUUAUUAAUAAUUGAGAUUUCUUUGAUACUGAAAAAUCAAUUGUAGAAACUACCCGUUAUGUCUGAGCAGGUUUAGGCUCAAUGACAUCCUCUACCCACUUUUUCUAGGCACAAUUAUAAUUUCAAUGACAACUUAAGUGUUCGCAUUACUGCAAUUAAGGGUAGGAUACAUACAAGAAAGCUGCAAAAUUAAUUCAAAAACGUAGAAAAUUGAAAUUCCUAAGAUUAGCCAGUGCUAAUUUUUUAUCUAGAAUCGGGAGCAUAUUCUUCUAUUUUCUACAUUCCCUCUGUGCUGUCGAUACUGUUUUAUCUUCAAAUACUUAACUUUGUAGUUGUUGGUGGACCGGAUGAGGUCUUAUGGCCGUUAUAUUGCUUUGCAUUUACGGUUUGAAAAGGACAUGCUUGCCUUCAGUGGGUGCACUCAUAAUUUAUCUCUGGAAGAAGCUGAGGAACUAAAGUCAAUAAGGUAGGAUAUUUUGUACAGAUAUUCUAU
RNAcentral lists this long non-coding RNA (1070 nucleotides) under Olea europaea subsp. europaea. Lineage: Eukaryota; Viridiplantae; Streptophyta; Magnoliopsida; Lamiales; Oleaceae. The record is from RNAcentral.